This 64-nucleotide transfer RNA is filed under the name Gonystylus macrophyllus. RNAcentral describes it as "tRNA-Leu(UAA)". The record is from RNAcentral. Lineage: Eukaryota; Viridiplantae; Streptophyta; Magnoliopsida; Malvales; Thymelaeaceae.
AAAAUCCGUCGACUUUCAAAAUCGUGAGGGUUCAAGUCCCUAAUGGUCAAGCCCUCUAUCCCCA